UGGGGAAUAUUGCACAAUGGAGGGAACUCUGAUGCAGCGACGCCGCGUGAGUGAUGAAGGACUUCGUUUCGUAAAACCCUGUUCUAUGGGAAGAAAAGGACUGUACCAUAGGAGAAAGCUCCGGCUAAAUACGUGCCAGCAGCCGCGGUAAUACGUAUGGAGCGAGCGUUGUCCGGAAUUAUUGGGCGUAAAUGGUGCGCAGGCGGCUUUACAAGUUGGAUGUGAAAUAUUGUGGCUCAACCACAAACGUGCAUCCAAAACUGCAAAGCUUGAGUUAAGGAGAGGUAAGUGGAAUUCCUGGUGUAGCGGUGGAAUGCGUAGAUAUCAGGAGGAAUACCGGUGGCGAAGGCGACUUACUGGACUUAAACUGACGCUCAGGCACGAAAGCGUGGGGAGCAAACAGG
This 404-nucleotide ribosomal RNA is filed under the name Fusobacteriota bacterium. Its description in RNAcentral is "Fusobacteria bacterium partial 16S ribosomal RNA". It matches the Rfam family "Bacterial small subunit ribosomal RNA", at positions 355 to 776 of the family's 1533-position model. Lineage: Bacteria; Fusobacteriati; Fusobacteriota. The record is from RNAcentral.